Molecule: ribosomal RNA, 784 nt
Filed under: uncultured fungus
Lineage: Eukaryota; Fungi
Description: eukaryotic LSU rRNA
Rfam family: Eukaryotic large subunit ribosomal RNA
Source: RNAcentral
CCCGCUGAACUUAAGCAUAUCAAUAAGCGGAGGAAAAGAAACUAACAAGGAUUCCCCUAGUAACGGCGAGUGAAGCGGGAUGAGCUCAAAUUUAAAAUCUGGCUGGUUUACUAGUCCGAAUUGUAGUUUAUAGAAGCGUUUUCGGUGGCAGCCUGGGUAUAAAUCCUUUGGAAUAGGGUAUCAUAGAGGGUGAGAAUCCCGUCUUUGACUCAGUGCAUGCUACUAUGUGAUACGUUUUCAAAGAGUCGAGUUGUUUGGGAAUGCAGCUCAAAAUGGGUGGUAAAUUUCAUCUAAAGCUAAAUAUUGGCGAGAGACCGAUAGCGAACAAGUACCGUGAGGGAAAGAUGAAAAGAACUUUGAAAAGAGAGUUAAACAGUGCGUGAAAUUGUUGAAAGGGAAACGUUUGACACCAGUUAUGCGGGUGGAAAAUCAGUCUUUUGCAAUGGGGAGUUGUGGGCGUUCAGACCGCAAGGCGGGCGUUUGCUUCAUCUUUGUUGUAAGUGAUGCACUUUUUCAUUUGCAGGUCAACAUCAGUUUGCUUUGCUGGACAAAACACCAAGGGAAGGUGGCAGCUUAGGCUGUGUUAUAGCCCUGGGGCGAUACAGUGGAGUGGACUGAGGUUUCGCAGUGUGUGCUCUCGGGCAAGGCAGACUGGGUGCUAUGGGAUUGUUUUGAGUAGAAUGAAGGCAUUCUGCGUCGUGUCUUUUUCACACUCGCUCAAGUCGGGUCUUCCACACUUAGGAGGUUGACUUAAUGGUUUUAAACGACCCGUCUUGAAACACGG